CUAUAGAUAAUGAUAGAAAAAAGUAACCUUAUGGAUCAUAAAGAGAGCUAGUGGUUGGUGUAAACUAGUUGAAAAAUGAGGCGAAAUACAUUCUUGAAUCUUAUACUGAAAGGCUAAGGCUUACUAGGUUGUUACGUAAAUUCCAACGUUAUAUGGGAAAUGAGUGAAUAUGCUUGCAUAUUAAUUUGGGUGGUACCACGGAAAUUUCGUCCCUUUA
This 217-nucleotide non-coding RNA is filed under the name Clostridium homopropionicum. RNAcentral's name for it is "T-box sequence". It matches the Rfam family "T-box leader". Rfam says of the family: Uncharged tRNA acts as the effector for transcription antitermination of genes in the T-box leader family. T-boxes are found upstream of many aminoacyl-tRNA synthetase genes and some amino acid biosynthetic genes usually in Gram-positive bacteria. The anticodon of a specific tRNA base pairs to a specifier sequence within the T-box motif, and the NCCA acceptor tail of the tRNA base pairs to a conserved bulge in the T-box antiterminator hairpin. Lineage: Bacteria; Bacillati; Bacillota; Clostridia; Eubacteriales; Clostridiaceae. The record is from RNAcentral.